This is a long non-coding RNA of Oncorhynchus tshawytscha (Chinook salmon), 2268 nucleotides long. RefSeq lists it as uncharacterized. Lineage: Eukaryota; Metazoa; Chordata; Actinopteri; Salmoniformes; Salmonidae. The transcript is spliced from 6 exons. The record is from RefSeq and is a predicted model, not a curated record.
GAGAGGGUCUAGGGUUCCUGGGAUGAUGGUUUUGAUGUGAGCCAUGACCAGCCUUUCAAAGCACUUCAUGGGUCGGUAGUCAUUUAGGCAGGUUACCUUCGUGUUCUUAGUACUCAUUUUUAUUUAGUUUCAGUUUGAUAAAAACAUUUAGAUUUAGUUUUUAUAUUAUUUAGUUCCAGUUUUAGUGUUAGGGAUUAGAAAGAAGCCUAUGCGCGGGAGGUUAGAAGCCAUUUGUGUGUUGGCGUAUAGUUUGUGUUUUCUUGUCACUUCAUGCCACUGGGGGGCAGCAAUAAGGUGAUGGUCACAGGUUUGGUUAUGUUUCAAUUAUAAAUCAAUCUUAGCCUGCAUUCCAAAGUUAGACGUUGCUGACGCCUGACAGGUCUUCAACGCCUGGACAGGUAUUUUAAAUCAGCUAACCACACAUGUUAUUGCAAUCUGUCAGUCCAUGAUACUGUCGAUGGCAAGCAACCAUUGACUGAUGCAUGCAAACGUCUGAGCAGGGGAACGCAACCGUUGUCAGAUUAUUGCCCCCACCCCAGAAUAAAACAUCUCACUAGCCAUUUUUUCUGUUUGGGGCGGGGCCACUCUGGUCUGCUUAUUGCCCCCUUAUUCCCUAUUGUUAGCAAAUAUGAUCUAUUAUAUUGACAAGAUGUUCAAUUAACCCCUCUAGCAAUGAAAUACAUGUCCUCAAAGAUUGAAGGCAGGCGGGAGGAGACAAGAUCAGGUGGGACCAUUCUAGCCAACUUAUCGGGGUACAUCUGUAACAACUUAAACAUUACUCUGUUUGGUCAACUAAGCCUCACGUAAUUUCACACAGGUCUCAUAGACCUCCAUGCAAAAAGGUCUGCUUAUCUCGUGGGGACAGAUUUUGGGCAGAAGUAAUCCUCUUGCUCCGCCUUGUCCUCCUUGGUAUUAGCUUGUAAUAGUGAUGCACAUGCUAGGCAUAUUUGAAACAUUGCCAUCUACUGGCAGAAUUUACCUGCCAGAAUCAGAAGCUCGAAAACCCCAUUACAAAAAAAGUUUGAAAACCCCAAUAGAUUUUUUUCCCAAAGUGUUCUUUAUUUUAUAAAACUUAACAUAAUUUGAUGGUUUUUAUUUUAUUUUGCAGACGAAGAUACUAGUUUCAGUAUAGUUUUAGUUUUUCAAAAGUUUUUCUUAUUUUUAUUUUAGUUUAAUAUAAUAACCUUGGUUUGUAGCAGAGUCACAUGGGAGGAGGGUUUGUAUGGAGGUUGGGUAAAGUAGAUUUAAGGUUUGCCGGUUAAGGGUUGGAUUGGCCUUUUAGGAUGGUCGUGGGAACAGGUGUGGGGCAUCUGGAGGGAGGGGUUGGGAUUGGGAUUCUUCAGAACUCUUCUCUACACACACCCUUAAGCUGAGGGUCUGGGUGUUAACAAGGUUCAAGGUCUCAGGCAAGGUUACUAAUCACAUGGUGUGAAGUUGGCCAAACCACCUCCACUUCUUUUGCCCACUAGGCACAGCCUUAUUAACUUCUGUAUGUGUGUGUAUUAGAGCCAGGCGGAGGUGUUACGGGUGCAACAGCAGAAGGAGGAGCUGUGUGACCAGAUCCGUGACCUCAGCGUGCCCUUUCACCUGGCCUCUGAGUCGCUGACGGACCUGAAGAAGCAGCUCCGCCUCCUGGAGACCCAGACCAAUGAGAGAGGAGAGAAGCUCACCAAGCUCACUGCCAAGAUACAACAGCUGUAGCAGGUGCACAUGCAUUUUGAGAUGGAGAUGGAGAGAAGGAAACAGAUCCAUCACAAAGAGCUGGAGGAUAAAGAGGGGUUAGAGGACGUACACAAGUCCUCUAGAGAGACGGCUGCGUCAGCUGGAGAUGCAGUUGGAACAGGAGUCCACGAGAAACACGACCAGGAGGGACUGAUAUCUACACUCUGUGACCAGGGUCAGGAGCAGAGAACAUCAGUGGAGAGAGGGGAGCAGAGACAGCAAGGGCAGUUCGUCACUCCAGUGCCAUGCCGUUAACCUUCGCAACCCUGGGCCAGACUGCACUCAAUCAUAGGACCUACUGAAGAGAGGAGUCUUCAGGAGACUGAGUCUGCGUCUCUCGCAUGGGACAAAACCAAAUCCAGGGUAUGACUGUGGCAAUGCGUAGGUCCGAAGACAUGUUGGACCAAACCCACUGAGUCGAUGAUGGCUCCGAACGCCUUUUGGAGUGGGCCACAGGGACUUUGACGUGGAGAAGAGACUGAGGAGAGAUCUGAAGAGAACCCAUGCUCUGCUGGUGGACGCUCAGCUACUACCGUCUACCAUAGA